Molecule: ribosomal RNA, 827 nt
Filed under: uncultured euryarchaeote
Lineage: Archaea; Methanobacteriati; Methanobacteriota
Description: bacterial SSU rRNA
Rfam family: Archaeal small subunit ribosomal RNA
Source: RNAcentral
GGUUGCUGCUAUGGGGAUCCGACUAAGCCAUGCAAGUCAAGGGACCCUUCGGGGGACCGGCAGACUGCUGAGUAACACGUCGAUAAUCUGCCCUCCGGUAGGGGACAGGCUUGGGAAACUGAGCGUAAUCCCCUAUAGGGGAUAAAGGCUGGAAUGCCUUAUCUCUAAAAGCUCCGGCGCCAGAGGAUGAGUCGGCGGCCGAUUAGGUUGUUGGCGGUGUAACGGACCACCAAGCCUCAGAUCGGUAAGGGCCUUGAGAGAGGGAGCCCUCAGAAGGACACUGAGAUACUGGUCCUAGCCCUACGGGGUGCAGCAGGCGCGAAACCUCCACAAUGCACGCAAGUGCGAUGGGGGGAUCCCCAGUGCUCAAGCUCUGCUUGGGCUUUUGCCAAACCUAAAUCGUUUGGCGAAUAAGGGGUGGGUAAGACCGGUGCCAGCCGCCGCGGUAACACCGGCGCCUCGAGUGGCAACCGCGUUUAUUGGGCCUAAAGCGUUCGUAGCCGGCCUGGUAAAUUUCCUGUGAAAUUGUCUUGCUUAACAAGACAGCGUGCAGGAAAGACUGCCAAGCUAGGGACCGGAAGGGGCCAGAGGUAUUCCAGGGGGAGCGGUAAAAUGCUAAAAUCCCUGGAGGACCACCUGUGGCGAAGGCGUCUGGCCAGUACGGAUCCGACGGUGAGGGACGAAAGCUGGGGGAGCAAACCGGAUUAGAUACCCGAGUAGUCCCAGCUGUAAACUCUGCGGGCUAGGCGUCGCAUAUUCUUCGUGAAUAUGCGGUGUCGUAGCGAAGGCGUUAAGCCCGCCGCCUGGGGAGUACGGUCGCAAGGCUG